CUCUUUAAGCUGACAUUCAUAUGGUUUUAUUUCCAUUUUUUCAAGUACAUUGUAUUAAUCAUUCUUAGAAUGUUGUCUUCUUUCUUAAUAUUUAUUGGUUAUAACUCAUAAACUUUAUAUACUAUUUUGUUUCCAUAUUGGCUUUUCUGCACCAUUGGGUCUAUAAGUGAACUUGAUGGUAACCACCCAGCUUUUCUAAUCACAUAACAUUAGCAUAUAAAAAUUCAUGACAUUUCUUUUAUCCUUAUCUAUCUGUCUAAUAAAAAAUAAUGUUCAUUUUAUCAAAAUAUCAACUACAAAUUUAAGAAUACAUUUUGGAAUUUUUUUCCAAAUGGUAUUAAUUCUGCCAUAGACAGAAAAAUAAUAACUUGAAGUUAGAAAGUGCCCAUUUGCAUAUAAUAAAAAAAAUGCCCAAUGAUUUAUGAAUAUUUUUUUCAGAGAUUCUUCACAUUUAGGGUCAGAGUCUGGUGAGGAAUUUACAUCUCCUCUUGGAGCUCUGAAUAAUUUUCCCUCAUGCUUCCCAAAAGUUCACUUAUGCACA
RNAcentral lists this long non-coding RNA (541 nucleotides) under Bos taurus (domestic cattle). RNAcentral describes it as "long non-coding RNA NONBTAT006279". Lineage: Eukaryota; Metazoa; Chordata; Mammalia; Artiodactyla; Bovidae. The record is from RNAcentral.